ACACUCCAAGUCAAGAAACUACAUUAUCUGUCUCCUUUCUCAUUUUCAUACAUGCACCAGGUCCUGCAGUCACUUCUUCUAAUUUACACCUUUUUCACCUUUAAAUGAUACGUACUUUAAAACACCAAAAGGAAAAGUUGAGUUGACAUUCAUAGUAACUGAUUUUAGUUCUUCACUGAGACUAAAGAGCUCUCAUUCCAAAAGUACUGCACACUCUGGCUCCUAGGAUAGCCUUUAAAAGGAGAAUUCUGAAUGAAUAGUGCCCAUAACACAGAAGUAGUUUGGUGCCAGAGCUUGAAAAGAUAAGAUGUCUAUAUCCAGUAUUUUCUUGAUAAUAGAGCAGGUAUCUAUUACUCAUUUGCUAAAAUUUCCAGCAAUUAACUAUAAAGAGGAAGUUUUUCUAGCACCUCCCCCACUUUAUCCAGUCAACUUUUUCCA
Molecule: long non-coding RNA, 438 nt
Filed under: Bos taurus (domestic cattle)
Lineage: Eukaryota; Metazoa; Chordata; Mammalia; Artiodactyla; Bovidae
Description: long non-coding RNA NONBTAT016855
Source: RNAcentral